Hydra vulgaris (swiftwater hydra) is the source of this 548-nucleotide long non-coding RNA. RefSeq lists it as uncharacterized. Lineage: Eukaryota; Metazoa; Cnidaria; Hydrozoa; Anthoathecata; Hydridae. The record is from RefSeq and is a predicted model, not a curated record.
UUAUUUAAGAUAUAAUUAUCCUUGCGGCGAACGUGACGUCACUUUAACUAACUAAACGGCUACCAUUAUGGUAUGGGGGCAAACAAAGCGCUUGAAAAUAGAGAAAUGUGUUUUUGAUUGUUCAAUUAAUGUUAAUAGUCAUCCGAACUUGAUUUUUUAUAUUUUGCUUCCUGAUCCAAAGAGAAGAAAAUCGUGGUUUUAUGCUUUAUAUAGAAUUGAUUCAUCUUGCAAACAAACUUUGGUCGCAAAACAUGUCUAAGUUUGCUCAAAACAUUUUGUAUUUGAAUAUUAUGUACAAAAAAGUCAUUGCAAUAAAUCUCAAGUUAUUAAAGUCAGUGAACAAAUAAGUACUGAUAAAUAAUGCAGCAUUAGCUAGGAUUGUUCUUAGGUCACAAAACAAUCUUACAAAUAGAGUUUCUGCUGCUGUCACUGGUUUUAGAGAGUUCCUUUGUGAAUAAAGAUAAAAAGUCAUUUAUGUUAUUUUUUAAAAGCCAAGACAUAAUAUUGUUAAUCCUCAUACCAUUGACUAAAAAACUUUAUAAAUAUUG